CUCUUUCGGGGGACACAUCAGCGGCAGACGGGUGAGUAACACGUAGGUUAACCUACCCCAGAGACAGGGAUAACCCUAGGAAACGAGGGCUAAUAUCGGAUGACCUCCGGAAGGAGGAAAGGCUCAGGCGCUCUGGGAGGGGCUUGCGGCCCAUCAGCUAGUUGGUAGGGUAAAGGCCUACCAAGGCGAAGACGGGUAAGGGGGUGUGAGAGCACGGNCCCCCACAAUGGGACUGAAACACGGCCCAUACUCCUACGGGAGGCAGCAGCAGGGAAUAUUGCACAAUAGGCGAAAGCCCUGAUGCAGCGACGCCGCGUGAGUGAAGAAGGCCUUCGGGUCGUAAAGCUCUUUUGUAGGGGAAGAGGAAGGACGGUACCCUAAGAAGAAGCGUCGGCUAACUACGUGCCAGCAGCCGCGGUAAGACGUAGGACGGCGAGCGUUAUCCGGAAUUACUGGGCGUAAAGGGCCAGCAGGCGGCUUGGGAAAGUUGUGCGUGAAAGCCUCGUGCUCAAC
This 513-nucleotide ribosomal RNA is filed under the name uncultured organism. RNAcentral's name for it is "bacterial SSU rRNA". It matches the Rfam family "Bacterial small subunit ribosomal RNA", at positions 75 to 613 of the family's 1533-position model. The record is from RNAcentral.